CAGGGCGCGCUGUCCCAUUCCCUGAGCCCAGGGCGCGCUGUCCCAUUCCCUGAGCCCAGGACGCGCUGUCCCAUUCCCUGAGCCCAGGACGCGCUGUCCCAUUCUCUGAGAGGCUCUCUGAGCCCAAGACCAACUGUCCCAUUCCCUGAGCCCAAGACCAACUGUCCCAUUCUCUGAGAGACAGUGACACUAACAGACGUGCUGAAGAACUGUAUUGGCCUUCAGAAGAUUUGCCCAAAAUACCAACCAGGCUCCAUUGUUUUUUCAGCCCGUUGGGGAUGAGAGCCAGGCCCGCGUGGUGGAGCUGGCUGGACAGAAGCCUGAUUUUGACUUUAAAGUCAAAGGGCACCUGGAGAUCGGAGAGGGGCUGGACAUCAUCAGGCAGAGGCGGCUGGCUCAUGUCUCCGGUCACCGGUCGUAUUACCUGCGGGGGGCCGGGGCUCGGCUGCAGGCUGCUCUGCAGAGCUUCGCCCUGGACAAGCUGCAGCGCAGGGUGGGACAGUGGGCGAGCGUCUCUGUCUGUCACUUGGGUGCUCUGGCUGUUCUGCUCCUCUUUCGUCCCUCUCUGUGGGCUGUUUGUGUGGCUCUUCUGCCCCUGUGGAACACCAGACAGUUACAAACAAGGAGAGAUCGUUCAGCCUAUCUGCCCCUUUUGUUAGUAGCUUAUUAGCUGAGGCUCUUGACCUCAUCACCGUCCACAGCAUGGUUGGGUAGCUUGUUUUAGACCCCACGUCUCUGACUCCCCCCCCGUUCCAUACUGCCUCCCACUUACCUCCGAAAGCUGGUGGAGGUGGCUCACCCAGUCUUUCUUAAAGACUCAUGCAGCCUCAACAGGCAACAGACUAUUCAUAGAGAGUCCACAGAG
RNAcentral lists this long non-coding RNA (865 nucleotides) under Lepisosteus oculatus (spotted gar). RNAcentral's name for it is "lncRNA (ENSLOCG00000023006.1)". Lineage: Eukaryota; Metazoa; Chordata; Actinopteri; Semionotiformes; Lepisosteidae. The record is from RNAcentral.